This 26-nucleotide non-coding RNA is filed under the name Cricetulus griseus (Chinese hamster). The record is from RNAcentral. Lineage: Eukaryota; Metazoa; Chordata; Mammalia; Rodentia; Cricetidae.
GCUUCUGUCGUGAGUGGCACACGUAG